GCGGAUAUGGCGGAAUUGGCAGACGCGUAUGGUUCAGGUCCAUAUGAAAGUAAUUUCAUGCAGGUUCAAGUCCUGUUAUCCGCACCA
This 87-nucleotide transfer RNA is filed under the name Clostridium sp. CAG:557. RNAcentral's name for it is "transfer RNA-Leu(CAG)". It matches the Rfam family "tRNA". Rfam says of the family: Transfer RNA (tRNA) molecules are approximately 80 nucleotides in length. Their secondary structure includes four short double-helical elements and three loops (D, anti-codon, and T loops). Further hydrogen bonds mediate the characteristic L-shaped molecular structure. tRNAs have two regions of fundamental functional importance: the anti-codon, which is responsible for specific mRNA codon recognition, and the 3' end, to which the tRNAs corresponding amino acid is attached (by aminoacyl-tRNA synthetases). tRNAs cope with the degeneracy of the genetic code in two manners: having more than one tRNA (with a specific anti-codon) for a particular amino acid; and 'wobble' base-pairing, i.e. permitting non-standard base-pairing at the 3rd anti-codon position. The record is from RNAcentral. Lineage: Bacteria; Bacillati; Bacillota; Clostridia; Eubacteriales; Clostridiaceae.